Molecule: ribosomal RNA, 301 nt
Filed under: uncultured bacterium
Lineage: Bacteria
Description: partial 16S ribosomal RNA
Rfam family: Bacterial small subunit ribosomal RNA
Source: RNAcentral
CAGUAGCCGCGGUAAUACGAAGGGGGCUAGCGUUGUUCGGAAUCACUGGGCGUAAAGCGCACGUAGGCGGAUUUUUAAGUCAGGGGUGAAAUCCCGAGGCUCAACCUCGGAACUGCCUUUGAUACUGGAGAUCUUGAGUUCGGAAGAGGUUGGUGGAACAGCUAGUGUAGAGGUGAAAUUCGUAGAUAUUAGCUAGAACACCAGUGGCGAAGGCGGCCAACUGGUCCGACACUGACGCUGAGGUGCGAAAGCGUGGGGAGCAAACAGGAUUAGAUACCCCAGUAGUCCCUGUCUCUUAUAC